Molecule: long non-coding RNA, 445 nt
Filed under: Malus domestica (apple)
Lineage: Eukaryota; Viridiplantae; Streptophyta; Magnoliopsida; Rosales; Rosaceae
Description: long non-coding RNA (MDOM_LNC012445)
Source: RNAcentral
AUCGAUUUCCAAUUGUUUUUCAAUAAACUAUGAUGCUCAACAACCCAGAUUAACCGUGAUGAACAAAUUAACCCUCAUAUUUUCCUUUACUCAUUGAGUUGGAUGAAUGCAUGCAACAACCCAAAUCAUUUUCUAAAAGUCCCCUAUAUGAAUGCAUAAUAGAGAUAUAAUCAGAGAUCAUUACGUUCAAUGAAAAUCAUAAGUGUUGACGAGGCAAUUGUAACUAUGAAUGCAUGAUACAAUUGCCAAGAAUUCAAUUAACGUGAUUGUGAUAAACAACCUUCACUACUCAUGAAUAUAAACUUGUAACGAUUAGGUGAAACUCAUUUAUAUUCUAGCAUCUAAUUCAUGCAUGAAAACUAAGUAUGCAUCCUUAAUAAACAUACAAGAAUCAAUUAUGAAUAAAAUAGAUAAUUGAAUUGCAAUCACAACUUAUCAAAUCACA